RNAcentral lists this ribosomal RNA (253 nucleotides) under uncultured bacterium. Its description in RNAcentral is "partial 16S ribosomal RNA". It matches the Rfam family "Bacterial small subunit ribosomal RNA", at positions 524 to 776 of the family's 1533-position model. The record is from RNAcentral.
GACGAACCGAGCGAACGUUGUUCGGAAUCACGGGGCUUAAAGGGCGCGUAGGCGGGUGCUCAAGUCCGUGGUGAAAUCCUCCGGCUCAACCGGAGAACUGCCUCGGAUACUGGGUGCCUCGAGGGUGGUAGGGGUAUGCGGAACUAUCGGUGGAGCGGUGAAAUGCGUUGAUAUCGAUAGGAACUCCGGUGGCGAAGGCGGCAUACUGGACCACCUCUGACGCUGAGGCGCGAAAGCCAGGGGAGCAAACGGG